RNAcentral lists this long non-coding RNA (795 nucleotides) under Zostera marina. RNAcentral describes it as "long non-coding RNA (ZMAR_LNC004939)". Lineage: Eukaryota; Viridiplantae; Streptophyta; Magnoliopsida; Alismatales; Zosteraceae. The record is from RNAcentral.
GAGGGGGAGACUUGUACUUGUACCAAUGAUGAUGUUGAGGAGGAGGAGGUGGAGACUUGUACUUAUACCAACGAUGAUGGUGGGGAGGAGGAGGUGAAGGUGGUGGCGGAGAUUUAUACUUAUACCAGUGAUGAUGGUGGGGAGGAGGAGGUGAAGGUGGUGGAGGAGACUUGUAGUUAUACCAGUGAUGAUGGUGGGGAGGAGGAGGUGAAGGUGGUGGCGGGGACUUGUACUUAUACCAAUGAUGAUGGUGGGGAGGAGGAGGUGAAGGUAGUGGAGGAGACUUGUAGUUAUACCAGUGAUGAUGGUGGGGACGAGGAGGUGAAGGUGGUGGCGGGGACUUGUACUUAUACCAGUGAUGAUGGUGGGGAGGAGGAGGUGAAGGUGGUGGGGGAGACUUGUAGUUAUACCAGUGAUGAUGGUGGGGAGGAGGAGGUGAAGGUGGUGGCGGAGACUUGUACUUAUACCGGUGAUGAUGGUGGGGGGGAGGAGGUGAAGGUGAUGGCGGAGACUUGUACUUAUACCGGUGAUGAUGGUGAGGAAGUGGUGGAGACUUGUACUUGUACCAUGGUACCGGAGGUGGUGGAGAUGAUGGUGAGGAAGUGGUGGAGACUUGUACUUGUACCAUGGUACCGGAGGUGGUGGAGGCGAUUUAUAUUUGUACCAAUGAUGAUGAGGUGGUGGAGGCGAUUUAUAUUUGUACCAAUGAUGAUGAGGUGGUGGCUUGUACUUGUACACCGGGGUAAGGGGAAGUGGUGAUUUAUACUUAUCAUGGUGGUGGUGGUGGUGGUGGUG